GCAAGUACUUUUGUCUUUUCUGCAAGAAUCAGCCAGCUUAGUAUUUCACAUCUCGGUUUCCGUUUUGCCCUUGAAUGUAUGAGGCUGUUCCUAAGAGAAAGUUUUAAAAACUGAAUACAGACCAGUAAGCCAAAAUACUGCUCCAAGACCUUUUCCUCAGCUGGCUCAGACUACAUACCGGUGACCUGCUUUGCACUUGAAAAGGUUGCUGAAAUUUUACCCAUUUUUACGUAACUGACUAGUGACUGACAUAAUCAGUCUAUCUUGCUAAGUUCACACAAAUUCCCCAGGGCUUACUGUAUACUCUUAAUACCAAAUGGCUGCCUCCUCACGUGGUUCUUAUGUCAGUCAGACUUGGUAAGAUCUGGGGACUUGGGGCGGCCUGAGGCCCCUCCACCCCAGUGUCUCUCUCAGUGGAGAGCAGGAGAGCUUCUGAGAGUGAGAAGACAGUCUUGAGCUUGAGGUCUUGUAAGUUUGAGGUUCCCAUUUUCUACUGCAGGGGAGUCUGGGUGAUACAAGCCUUAGCCUGCGGAAGUGCCUCUGAACACUGGAGUAUGUAUAAACACACCUUCAAAAUGCAAAGGAGCGGUCUGUAGUGACGCUGUAAAGUGCAGAGUCACAGUCAGCCUCACUGUGAGAAGCAGAUGCACACAGGCCUAGACCUGCAUCCCUGACUUAGCACCUGCCCAAUGGCUUCCUUUCUCCUGCCUUCAGGCAUUCUAAGAACAUUAGUGACAAUGUCUUUUGUUAAGAAUAAAAGCUGUGAAAAGGGAUUUCUGCAUACCUGACAGGAUGAGGAGCUGUACUUUCUAGGGAGUUAAAUAUGGCCACCUCAAUGGUGUCCUGGUUUGUCAAAGGGACUAGUUUAGGUUAACUCCAGUUUUAAGGUGAAGUUUUGGUUCAGGGCCUGAGUAGUGUUUCAUACUUUUGGUAGACAAGCAUAGUCUAAUGGGAACUUUGAAAGGAAAGGGUUAACUCAGCCUACUAAAUUGUUAGGUUCUCCUGGGAACUCUGAAAGGAUACUGGAAAGGGAUAACUCAGCCUACUGAAUUGUUAGGUUCUCCUUCUAAGGAGGCCUGCCUUAGUGGCGUUGAGGCUAGCCUGGGCUAUGUAGUAAGUUCUGGAAGCGCCUUGUCUACAGAGGAUAUUCUUAUCUCAAAAACCAAAAACAACUAUCAAUGCCUGCCUGCCUUUUCCAUUACAAUGAUCUUCCCUCUAUCAUAUUUUCCCCUACGUCUGUUUAUUUAGUAGGAAUGGGUUCUCUUUGCUAGUGGCUCACUCCAAACCUCACACCGCAAAUCUUUCCUAAAAUUUGUUCUAUUUUGUUGGUUUAGUCUGAUUUCAAAGGACUGACCAUAUUUUGUUAGCUGGGACCGAUUGUUUUGUUAGAUCAAGCACAUCAUAGACCAUCAGAAGUAAUGCACCUUUGUGGUACCUAAUACAUUUUAGAACAGAAAAUUCUUUGUGCUGGGAUUUUGUAUCGAACAAUUCUUGAAAAAUUAAUUCUUCGUUUUGGAGUCAGCAGUAAGAAUGUUCUCCAAGAACCACACCACAGCACUCAGCUACACAGGAACUGUGUCUCAGAGAAAACAGCUGUCAUGGUGGUGAGGUCAGGCUAGGCCUGUUAUGGGCUCAUGACUGGCUAGGAGUGGUUUCCUGCUGUUUGUAAUUAGUCAAAUCGAGGCCUGCUGGUUUUAGUUUUCCAUCUACUAUUCCAUACUAGUUUUCGUUGUUGUUAGUUUUAUUUUUUGACAUGGGGUCCAUGUCAGCCAGUCUGACUGAACUCACAAUCUUUCUGCCUGUACAUAUCAAGUGCUGGGAUUACUGGAGUGUCACUGUACCCAGACAUUCACAUUCUUUAUCAUCUAAUAAUUUGGGGAUUUUUUGGUGUUAGGAUUCUGCCAAAUUUAGUUCAUCUUUACCUUACUAUUACAAAUAUGCCAGAGGAGAUGUUUCAUUACAUUAAACGUAGUUUUCUUAGGUACAGAUAUGGAUAUGCUGGCCCAUGAAGUGAAUUGAGUAAUAUUAAUCAAAUCCCAGCUUUCCAGUGCCACUACUGGUCUUAGAUUAUUUAGAAAUUGUUGUUUGGAAGCUGAAGAGAAGGCUCAAAGAGUAUUUGCUACUCUUCCAGAGGACUCAAGUGCCCCGUGCCACCUGUGCCCAGCACCCACACUGGGCAGAUCACAACACUCUAUGAUUCUAGUUCCAGGGGAUCCAGUGCCCUCUCUUAGCCUCCAAGGGCACUUAUAGUCAGAUUCAAAUACCCACACAAACACACACAUAGUUUAAAGGAAGAAAAAAGUGAUUAUACUGGAGUGCUGCCCUAAACUUAAAAGUCCUUUCAAAACUCUUCAGUCACUGUGAACUUAAUCACUAUUAUCAUUAUGAUCUAAAAGCUCUCAGAAUUGUACAUUAGAGAAAGAAACAGCCACAGUCAUAGUUGCCAUCGUCCUGACUCUCUCUUCUUUGUAUGGGAAGGAGGUUGGGGGGAAAGGCAAUAACUCCUGGCCCUACCAGUGCGAUUAUAAAAUAGCUAUCACUUUGAUAUGCUCUGCUUGUUCUUUCUGGAUUCAGAAAGGAGUGUGUUUUUCAUGUACCUGUGCACACUGCGUCUACUUGAGAAGUGGUGUGCAUAUGCCUCAGUGAAUACUCUGAGCACGCUGUGAGGAAUUACUGCUGCAUUGCCAAGGUAUAAGGCUAACUAACGUCCAUGCUCUGUGUGUGAAGUUAGGAUCGUGUGUUAAAACAGGGCUCUCUCGCCACCUUGGUCCAUUGCUUUUUACCUCCCAGCCCAGGUCCCAUGUCACCUAGUGCAGCAGUCCUGUGUUACACUUACCUGGAGAUUCCUGUUUAUGAUAUGUGAUAAUGGAGUCAUGAGUCCACACUUACUCUACUUAACUGCUGUAACUACUGGGAGGAAAGAAUCCCUCAAGAAAGUAGACGUGGACAGCAUCCGCAAGCACCAUCUGUGGCCACGCCCUCACCCUGGUUAUUGGGAAGCUUUCUGCACAUCCAACUGACUUACUUUUUUUCACAUUUAUACUUUCUUCCCCAUUGUUUGGACUUUGCAGAAAAGCUGCUGCUUGUACUUAAGGUUUUCUUAAACUUUGCUGUACAAAUGAUAUCAUCAGGGAAGUCCUGUGGUUGAAAGGCAGAAUCUAUUUGCUAGAUCUGGAGAGUGGCCAGGCAGACUGAUCUAACAGAAUCAUGAGUGUGUGUGCUGCUGCUGUUGUGACCACCCCUCUGAGUACUAGACUAAGUAGAGGACCUUCAGCAUCUCUUUUAGGUUUAGCUAGUGAGAUGACUACAGUUGACCUCUCCCCAGAGCUCAGCUCUUAGACCUUCAAGCUAGUGUUGCUCUGGUUUAGAGCCAAUUCUAAGUCUAAGAUUCCUUACCAAGUAAACAGCUAAAAGGCAAUACCCCUGGGUGUGGUCGAUCACAGCUGUGAUCCCAACAUUUGAGAGGCUAAGGCAGGGGGAUUUUCAUGAGUUCCAGCCCAGUCUUGGCUGCAUAGCAAGGCUCUGUGUAGACAAAGAACUAGAGGAAAUAGAAAUAAUUUGGGUAUGAUGAUACUGCUGUGUAAUCCCAGCACUUGAGAAGCGGAAGCUUCAAGCAGUAGACGUUCAAGGCCACUGUUGGCAACAUAGUAAGUUUGUAUCCGGCCUGAAUACAUAAGACUUUGUGUGGAAAAAAAAAUGG
RNAcentral lists this long non-coding RNA (3700 nucleotides) under Mus musculus (house mouse). Its description in RNAcentral is "long non-coding RNA chr9:75019155-75022855". Lineage: Eukaryota; Metazoa; Chordata; Mammalia; Rodentia; Muridae. The record is from RNAcentral.